CAGGAUAUAAUUCAAGUAGAAUGCUGGCUUUGGGGGUCAGUUGUAAAGGUUUAAGUCCUUUUGUCUUGA
RNAcentral lists this transfer RNA (69 nucleotides) under Breviceps mossambicus (Mozambique rain frog). RNAcentral's name for it is "tRNA-Pro". It matches the Rfam family "tRNA". Rfam says of the family: Transfer RNA (tRNA) molecules are approximately 80 nucleotides in length. Their secondary structure includes four short double-helical elements and three loops (D, anti-codon, and T loops). Further hydrogen bonds mediate the characteristic L-shaped molecular structure. tRNAs have two regions of fundamental functional importance: the anti-codon, which is responsible for specific mRNA codon recognition, and the 3' end, to which the tRNAs corresponding amino acid is attached (by aminoacyl-tRNA synthetases). tRNAs cope with the degeneracy of the genetic code in two manners: having more than one tRNA (with a specific anti-codon) for a particular amino acid; and 'wobble' base-pairing, i.e. permitting non-standard base-pairing at the 3rd anti-codon position. The record is from RNAcentral. Lineage: Eukaryota; Metazoa; Chordata; Amphibia; Anura; Brevicipitidae.